GAUGAACGCUGGCGGCGUGCCUAAUACAUGCAAGUCGAGCGAACAGACGAGGAGCUUGCUCCUCUGACGUUAGCGGCGGACGGGUGAGUAACACGUGGAUAACCUACCUAUAAGACUGGGAUAACUUCGGGAAACCGGAGCUAAUACCGGAUAAUAUAUUGAACCGCAUGGUUCAAUAGUGAAAGACGGUUUUGCUGUCACUUAUAGAUGGAUCCGCGCCGCAUUAGCUAGUUGGUAAGGUAACGGCUUACCAAGGCAACGAUGCGUAGCCGACCUGAGAGGGUUAUCGGCCACACGGGAACCGAGACACGGUCCAGACUCCUACGGGAGGCAGCAGUAGGGAAUCUUCCGCAAUGGGCGAAAGCCUGACGGAGCAACGCCGCGUGAGUGAUGAAGGUCUUCGGAUCGUAAAACUCUGUUAUUAGGGAAGAACAAAUGUGUAAGUAACUAUGCACGUCUUGACGGUACCUAAUCAGAAAGCCACGGCUAACUACGUG
RNAcentral lists this ribosomal RNA (497 nucleotides) under uncultured bacterium. Its description in RNAcentral is "partial 16S ribosomal RNA". It matches the Rfam family "Bacterial small subunit ribosomal RNA", at positions 28 to 507 of the family's 1533-position model. The record is from RNAcentral.